AUUGCCACUGCAGCACUUUGUCUGAUUAAAGGCCAGAGGCUGCAGAACAAAGGCCAGACAUGGAGUCCUGGAUGUUCAUGAGAGCGCAGUUUGACUAUGAUCCCAAAAAGGACAAUCUGAUCCCUUGCAAGGAGGCGGGACUGAAGUUUGCUACUGGGGACAUUAUCCAGAUUAUCAACAAGGAUGACAGCAAUUGGUGGCAGGGACGGGUGGAAGGCUCCUCCAAGGAGUCAGCAGGAUUGAUCCCUUCCCCUGAGCUGCAGGAAUGGCGAGUGGCAAGUAUGGCUCAGUCAGCUCCUAGCGAAGCCCCGAGCUGCAGUCCCUUUGGGAAGAAGAAGAAGUACAAAGACAAAUAUCUGGCCAAGCACAGCUCGAUUUUUGAUCAGUUGGAUGUUGUUUCCUACGAGGAAGUCGUUCGGCUCCCUGCAUUCAAGAGGAAGACCCUGGUGCUGAUCGGAGCCAGUGGGGUGGGUCGCAGCCACAUUAAGAAUGCCCUGCUCAGCCAGAAUCCGGAGAAGUUUGUGUACCCUGUCCCAUGUAAGUACCUCUUAGGCACCUUGGAGGGGAGGUGACAGGCUGGUACCACU
RNAcentral lists this small RNA (587 nucleotides) under Pan troglodytes (chimpanzee). RNAcentral's name for it is "processed transcript". Lineage: Eukaryota; Metazoa; Chordata; Mammalia; Primates; Hominidae. The record is from RNAcentral.